RNAcentral lists this ribosomal RNA (335 nucleotides) under uncultured eukaryote. RNAcentral describes it as "SSU rRNA". It matches the Rfam family "Eukaryotic small subunit ribosomal RNA", at positions 594 to 929 of the family's 1831-position model. The record is from RNAcentral.
AUAGCGUAUAUUAAAGUUGUUGCAGUUAAAAAGCUCGUAGUCGAACUUGAGGCCUGGCUGGGUGGUCCGUCCUUUUGGAUGUGUACUGCUCUUGGCUGGGUCUUUCCUCUUGGUGAACUGGUGUGCCCUUUACUGGGUGUGCCAGGGAACCAGGACUUUUACUUUGAAAAAAUUAGAGUGUUCAAAGCAGGCCUAUGCCCGAAUACAUUAGCAUGGAAUAAUAGAAUAGGACGUUGCGGUUCUAUUUUGUUGGUUUCUAGGAUCGCCGUAAUGAUUAAUAGGGAUAGCUGGGGGCAUUAGUAUUCGAUUGCUAGAGGUGAAAUUCUUGGAUUUAU